Molecule: long non-coding RNA, 3993 nt
Organism: Mirounga angustirostris (Northern elephant seal)
Lineage: Eukaryota; Metazoa; Chordata; Mammalia; Carnivora; Phocidae
Exons: 3
Source: RefSeq, a predicted model, not a curated record
CAAUGACUAAGUUACCUAAGAUAAGCGUUCUUUGCCUUCCACACCUCUCCCCUCGCCCCCAUUUUGGCUCUAUUUUGCUGGCUGACUUCAAGACCUGAACUUUUUAUAAAGAAGGUACAUAUUGAAAGUUAUUUGUUCUGAGGCCCUUUACUCUCUCAAGGACCAGAACAUAUGUGGGCUCCCCUCAGGAGCUUUAUAAGCUUUACUUGAUGAUAUACACAUGGCAAAAGGUAGACUACUUCAGUUCCAUAAAAAAUCGUUUUUUUAGCCUGCAUUUCAGAUCUCCUGAAUAUUCCGAACUAUCUUUAAAUAAAGGCGGUAGAAAAUUGCGAUGUGAGCCAUGCAUAACAAUAAUGGAUAAAUAAUUAAUAGAAUAGGAAGCUAAUAACUCACUUGCUGAUCAAUAGAACAUAGAAAACGUCAUUGCCAAAUGGUGAAGUGAUAAAGGUUAUACAUCACUUUUUAAUGGAUAACUAAGGCUUCCGAACCCUUCCUGAGAGUCAAGACUACUUUUAGAGAUAGAAUUCUCAAAGUAACAAGGGAGUCAAGCAUUAUGAGGAAUUUAAUUAGUAAUUAGGCACAGAGACUUAUUUUAUUUACCAUAAUUUAGUUUUUAAAAUUCCUUUUCAUUCUACUCAUAUUUAUCAGCCCCCUGAGAAGAGCAAGCUGAAAUUUUGCAUUUCACUUCUGGGAUACAUGUUAAGUGUUUAGAAAACAUGAAAUCUUUUAAGUUACCAGUGAGUGAAGAUAUCUAGCUGGGUGUCAUAUACCCGAAAGAUGUUUAAUAGCUAGCUGAGAAAACAAACACACAGACAAAAUAAUUAUCUGCUAAGUAGAUGCACAAAAUGAAUAGUGUUAAGAACGGAAAAAAACACUUUUUCCCCCUGCUAGCAAAUAUAAAAAUCCCAUAUGGGUUUUUUUCUAAUCUUUUUCCAUAUAAUAAUAUUCUUUUGUCCUUAAGUCAGUGUCAUCUGGGAAAUUCUGGGGGUUGGAGGGAGCCCUACUGAGGCAAGUAUUUAAAACUAAUUACUACAAUAAAGACUAUUAAAAAGAUUUUUAUUUUUCUGAAAACAUACACAAAAACCUUGUAGAAAAAUCAACUGCAUUGUAUAGGCAUGUGGACAUCACUCAACGUUGACAAUAGUGAAACCCUAGGUGCCUAAUUAUAGAUAUUGUACACGCUGCAGAUUUUUUUAAUUUGGUAGAAUUUUGUCUACAGCAAGCAGCCAAGGUGAGAUUGUACCGUACCACCUGAAGAGAAUCUAGGCGCUUGAGAGGCCUGCAAGGACUGCAAUGGAGAGGAAGACUGGAAGUCAGCACACCUUGGGUUGGAAAGUUCUGAUUAUUUUGAUAUGUCAGCUGGACUGGGCUAAGGGAUGCCCAGAUGGCUAGCAAAACAUUAUUUCUGGGUGUGUCUGGGAGGGUGUUUCCAGAAGAGAUGAGUAUUUGAUUCAUUAGACUUGAGGAAAGAUCUGCCCUCAUUGAUGUGAGUGUAGAAUAGGAAGGGAAAAGGAAGGGCCAAUUUCUGCUCUCUCUUCCUGGGCUGGGAUGUCCCUCUUCUCCUGCCCUUGAACAGGGGUGCUCCCACUUCUCAGGCCUUUGGAUUUGGACUGAAUUAUACCACUGGCUUUCUUGAGUCUCCAGCUUGUAGAGGGAAGAUUGUGGGACACCUUGGCCACCUGUGUGAGCCAAUUAAUGCACUAAAUGAAUCAGUCAAUCAAUAACUCUAUUAGUCAGUGAUAUGUAUAUCUUCUAUGAGUUCCAUUUUCCAGGAGAACUCUAAGAUGUAAAGUUUUUGAUAAAGCUACAGUAACUGAGUUGAAUCAUCGUUUUGGUAUUUAAAGGUAUAUCAGCCACUCCUGUUUCAUUCCACUGCACAGCACUAGAUGUUUUAUAAAUGUCUGCUGAACCAAAGCAAACUCGCCUCCCUCCCUACUAGGUGCUGAGCACUGUGAAAAUGCUAAGAUAAAGGUGAUGAAGAUGUUCCUGGUAUCACUGAGUGCACAAUUGUGGAAGAGACAUAAAACUUUGGCCAAGAGUUCUCCAUCAUAAAGACUGAAAGGACCCAGUGAUACUCCAGCACCAUGGAGGCUCUGUGAAGAGGAUCCCUUUGCCUCUCUCUACGACAGACUUGUAACUCUCAGUUCCUUUCCAUCAUUUGCGAAGAAAGUCCUAGAAACUCCCUAACAGAGAGAAAAACGGUCCCACAUUUUUCUUGCCCCUUCCCGCUUCUCCAUCCUUACCUCCUGAUUCUUUAGUGUUCCAGUCACAGUGUCUGGAUGAGAAGUUUUCCAGGUAGAUAAGUAGGGGAAAGCAUUCAAGAAAGGGCAUAUUCUAUUUGGCAUAUUUAGGGAAUUGCAAAUGUCUUAAAAUUUCUGAAGUGUGUAAUGCAAGAGAGGAUGGACAACUGGGUCUUUCAGUCUUUUUCUUUUCUUUUCUUUUUAACUUUUACCAUAGAAGAAUACAGAAAUAUUUCUCCACUCCAAAAUAAAUGAAGCGCAGGUGGAAUGGUUCUCACAACGACAGUCUCCGUAACAGAGGUGGAAGGGAGGAGCGAAGAAUGUGGCCCGUGGGAGAGCCCACAUUCUCUCUAAGGCAGAUUACCUGUCCUCUGCUUCACUGACUGGUGGGGGAAAGAGGGUCUAAUGCUGUGAGAUUUUUCAUUUUUAUUUUUAAAUAGGUAACAGAUCUGGGUUUAUUUCAAAGUAAGUGUUUUAUUUCUGAACUCUUCCUUUUUCAAAAGAUUUUAUUUAUUUAUCUGAUAGAGAGAGAGGGAGAGAAAGAGAGAGAGAGAGCACAAGCAGUGGGAGUGGGAGAGGGAGAAGCAGACUCCCCGCCGAGCAGGGAGCCUGAUGCGGGGUUUAGUCCCAGGACCCUGGGAUCAUGACCUGAGCUGAAGGCAGACGCUUAACCGAUGAACCACCCAGGCGCCCCCUGAACUCUUGCUUUCUUAAAGUAUUUUAGCACAAAUUCCAAGAGAUCAAAUUCUCAGUAGACUUAGAUAAGGUUUAUAUCAUUUAAAAAAUAUUGAUUACAUGUGCUAUGGCAUAAUUUAAUUUUUUAUAAUUAAAGAAAAUAUGGGGGUUUAUAUUUAGCAUUACUUGUCAUACCCAUGAGGAGUUCCCAAUAGUAUGCAGAUGAAGAAAUCUGGACAUUUUAAAAGACUUUAAGAACAGAUAGUAUUUCUCUCUCUCUCUCUCUCUUUUUUUUUUUUUUGCUUGUUUCUAACAAUGGAAGUGGGCUAUAAGAAUAGAAAGUUAAGAAAUUUUAAUGUAAUUAUAAUUAGAUAAAGUUUUUUAUUUUUUUAAAUAAAGAUUUUAUUUGAGAGAGAGACAGAGGGAAAGCACAGAGGGAGAGUGAGAGAAGCAGACCCGUGCUGAGCAGAGAGCCUGAUGUGGGGCUCGAUCCCAGGACCCUGAGAUCAUGACCUGAGCUGAAGGCAGACGCUUAACGAACUGAGCCACCCAGGCACCUCUAGAUUAAGUUUUUUCUAUUGAAGUAUAAUUGAUGUACAAUAGCUUAUUAGUUUCAGGUGUACAUCACAGUGACUCAAUAUUUUUAUACAUUACAAAACAAUCCCCAAUAAGUCUAGUUACCAUUUGUUACAAUACAAAGUUCUUACAAUAUUGUUGACUAUAUUCCCUGUGCCGUACAUUACAUCUCACUGACUUACUUAUUUUAUGACUGGAACUUUGUACCUCUUAAUCCCCUUCAUCUGUUUUGUCCAUCCACCGCCCCCAACUUCCUCCCUCUGGUAAUCAACAGCUUGUUUACCUGUAUCUAUGAGUUUGUUUCUGUUUUGUCUUGUUUGUUCAUUUGUUUUGUUUUUUAGAUUCCAUAUAAGUGAAGUUUUUUAGAUUCCAAUAUAAGUGAAAUUAUAUGGCAUUUGUCUUUCUCUGUCUAACUUAUUUCAUUUAGCAUAAUACCCUCUAGCUCCAUCCAUGUUGUCACAAAAUAGCAAAAUUUCCUUCCUUUUUAUGGAUGAAUAAUGUU